This is a long non-coding RNA of Falco peregrinus (peregrine falcon), 2611 nucleotides long. RefSeq lists it as uncharacterized. The transcript has 3 exons. NCBI's taxonomy places the organism in Eukaryota, Metazoa, Chordata, Aves, Falconiformes, Falconidae. The record is from RefSeq and is a predicted model, not a curated record.
GUGGUCGCGUUCUAGUUCAUGGGGCGUGGGCUCGAGGCUCCUGGUGGCGCAGGCCCCGAAGUUUGUAUUAUCUAAGUAACUGGGGUGGUUUUGUUACCGAUAAAUCGUAACCAGGAAAAAUCUCCAAAGCAAAUGACAGUACAGAAAGACGACAUUGAUUUAUUGCAGCGCUGGGUGCGUGGGGGAUCUCUCCUGGUAACAUGCACACCACCGUACUUGGGGGUUGGAGAUUAUCCACCUGACAGUGACCUGUGAAAGUAGAGGAGUUCUGUCAGGCCCAGUACUUCAUGACUGACAUUGUCGAGGCCAUUGGAAAACUGGUUAAAAAAGCUUGCAGAAAAAACAGAAUUUAUGAACCUGGCGGUACUCACCUUGAAAGACACCUUGCCAGCAGCUGUUUUGGGAUGUGUCUGUGGAGCAGCCUAAGAGGUGAUUCUCUCCAGGGAUUUGUGCACCCUUCUCUUGGAUAAGUCCCCACUUUGUACAAGUGGAGAUAUCUGCAUCCAAUCUAAGGGAUGACACAGCUGAAAAAAGAGAGAGAUUUGGGGAUUUUUCUUUCAGAAACUUCAGAGAACUUCAGGACAGGUGGGACACAUAAGCCACAAGCCCCCUUCCAUUGCCAAGUUCUGCUGCAGUGGAUGAAGACUCUGAACUUUGUGGUAGUUGUUGCUUCGAAGAGCAGGCGGCUUUGAAACCUAUGUCUCUAUUAGGAAAGCAUACGAAACAGGGAAGCUUAAAUCAGGCAGAGUGCUUUGAUGUUCCUGAAACACCAGGAAUGCUCCUGUCUAACCCUGGAAGUGAAUUAGAAAGGUAGAAGUUGGGACAGUGUUAGGGGGCUGAGCUGGGUGUGAUAAAUGUCUUUGGAUGGAUGGACCCGACAGCCUGGAGAGCCUGGUGAACCUCUCUGGAGUUUGAGGGGCAAUAACAAACAAGGGGCAGGGCAGGAGGGAGCAGGUUAUUUGCUGGGAGAUGUGGGAGUGCUGCAGGACUAGGGAAAUAGACAUGUUGAAGGGACCGGGAGGAAGUUUAUGUUAGGUCAGCUUACAGUUCUGGAUUUUUCUUCACUAACCCUCUCUACUUAGCUCAUUUUUUUUUAUUAUUAUUUUUUUUUUUUAAAGAGUGCCUCAUGGACUCUACCACAGCUGGACCAGGGAUAAGGAGAAAAAAUAAUUGGAGGCUCUGGGAUAUGUGUUUGGCUAUUCAAAAAUGUUUCAUCAUUAGUGUUGUUCCUGUAAUUGCUAAUGACUUACCAUGUCUUAGAUCUGUAAGUCUGCCUGUUUCUGUAACUCUGCCUGUUUCUUCCAUUUUUGUGCGGGUUACAGAUGGGAAUUUUCAACUGCUGUCUGUUUUGGUAUCUCCAUGUUGCCAUAUUUCUCUCUGUGAUUUCAUCAUAGGUUGGACACAUUUAACUUUAAGAAACUGAAGAGAGGGAUUUUCAUGAAACUCUUGAUUUCUUUACUAGGAAAUUGGUUAGCUUUCCCAGCCUUUAAAUGCUCUCUGCACAGUCAUUGCAUUUUAAUGAAUUGACCACUCGAACACAGAUGUUUUGGUUUUUCACUUCUAAAGCAAUGAUGUAAUUAAUGUUCAUUAGCAAACAUUGUUUCUCUGUGGGAGGGUCUCUAUUUGGUAAUGUAAUUUGUUGCAGGAGGACUACUGUCAGCCAGCACCCCCAGACCCCUUCCUGCAGGGCUGCUCUCCAGCCACUCCUCUCCCAGUUUAGACUGGUGCCCAGCAUUACUCUGUCCCUGGUGCAGAAUCCAGCAUUUGGUCUUGUUCAUUUCCAUGCUGUUGAUGACUGCCCGAUGCUCCAAUCUAUCCAGAGACCUCUGCAAGGCCUCUUGUCCCUCGAGAGAGUCAGCAGCACUUCCCAGUUUAGCAUCAUCAGCAAACUUGCCAACCAUGCAUUCAACUCAUGCAUCCAGAUCGCUGACAGAAAGAUUGCAUGGAGCUGGCCCUAGAAUUGAACCCUGAGGAACAGGAUCCCUGUUCCUGGGGACUGGUCACCAGCCAGAUGUAGCCCCAUUCACUGCAAGGCUUGGCGCCCUGUCCUUCAGCCAGAUCUUCACCCAGCACACUAUCUCACAGUUGGAUAACUUGUCCUGAAGGAUGCUGUGAGGGACAGUGCUGAAAGCCUUACUAAAACCCAGAAAAAACUCUGCCCACAACCAUUCCUUCACACACCAGGGGCUGACCUUAUUGUACAAGGAUAUAAAAUCAGUUAAGACAGGAAUUUCCCUUUGUGAACCCGUGUUGACUGUGCCUGAUGAUCACAUUGUUCUUUAAAAGUCUUUCAAUAACACCAGCAUGAUCUUCUCCAUCAUUCUUCCAGGUCCUGAGGUUAAAGAUAGUUUGUUAAGGUACAACUGUGUUGAUACUGCUUAACUUUAUCUGAAGAAUGUUUACAAAAUAAUCCUAAAAAUAGUUCUAAUCUCAAGGUAGGAUGUGGAGACUCCAUGCAUCACAAGACUGUAAGUGGAGCACCAUUGCCCAUCCAGAGGAAAGACAAAUUAGGUCUCUUUGGAUGGAAGGUGGACAAAUCUCCCCCUUCUUCCCAACUUUAAGGUAUUUCAAAUUGCAGAAGUAAGAAUAAAUGUUCACACAUCUAAAGGCA